GCCGAGAUAGCCAAGCCCGGUAUGGCGGCGGUCUCGAAAACCGCUGGGCCUAGCCCUCGGGAGUUCGAAUCUCUCUCUCGGCGCCA
This 86-nucleotide transfer RNA is filed under the name methanogenic archaeon mixed culture ISO4-G1. RNAcentral's name for it is "tRNA-Ser". It matches the Rfam family "tRNA". Rfam says of the family: Transfer RNA (tRNA) molecules are approximately 80 nucleotides in length. Lineage: Archaea; Methanobacteriati; Methanobacteriota; Methanomicrobia; Methanomicrobiales. The record is from RNAcentral.